This is a long non-coding RNA of Corapipo altera (White-ruffed manakin), 1079 nucleotides long. RefSeq lists it as uncharacterized. The record is from RefSeq and is a predicted model, not a curated record. The transcript has 4 exons. Lineage: Eukaryota; Metazoa; Chordata; Aves; Passeriformes; Pipridae.
AUCUUUUCCAACCCAGUUGAUUCUGUGAUUCUGUGGAAAAAAGCUCAAAGAUUUGACAGAAAUACUAUUAAGGAUUUGGGUAUUCCUUUGUAAAACAGCUUCAAGAAACAGCAAUGUCCAGUGAUAUGAAACUUUCAUGAAUGGUUUCAGAAAGCCUAAAAAAUGUGUGACCUACCUCUCCCCUCUGUUGUUUCUCAAGACUGGACAUUGCUCCAAAGACCAGAGCAGAAGUAGGCAUGACUUACUCAUCAAGCUUUUGAUAUGCAUGGCAGUCAGAAUGAAGAGAGAUGCUCCCUUCUUAGUUCUGCUGGAGUACCUGUGGUUUGGACUUCAAUCACUGCUUACAGCAGUGAAACAAAGCAAAUUGCAAGCAUUAAUGGAUCUGGAUGCUGCCAUUUAUUUAUGAACCAGUAGGACUGAAUCUUUUACCCUGAUUGUUUGUCCCACACACUGAUUCCCUUGCUUUACCCUGGGCUUUAUUCUGAGGUCUCAAGUUCCCUUCCCUGCAGGGAGGUCAAUCCAGGAAGGAUGGGCAGAAAGUCAUGCCACUUCAUGCUAUCUACUGCUCAGUCACCAGUUUUGGGUGUUAGUGGGCAAGGUCUCUGAGUGCUCAAUUGGCAUGGAUUUCCACCCAAUAAUCUGAACUCCAGGAUCCAGCACCUUCAUCUUUCCAAGACUGCUUCCUCUUUUUGGGAACCCUUCUUUUUCACACCUGCUCUUCUUUCCAGAAUUCAAACCCUCCGUUUCCUGAUCAAAACAGUCCCUGUGCAGAAGCACAAUGUGUGACCAGACUCCUGGUUGGCAGUUCUCACCUCUUAAUCAACUGGCAGACUGGAAUCAUGUCACUUUUCUUUCAUUCACAUGCUAUGUAUGUGCAUUCACCUACAUAUAUGCAAUAAUUUGUUAGCUAGCUGUCAGCAUUACUAACUUAAACUUUUUUCACCUUAAAACACCUCCUAAUGACAAUGAUCUUUACAUGCUAUUGUUUGAUGCUGCCAUUCAGUUCAGGACCUAUUUCCUUAUAAAGACCAGGGUCAACCACAGAUGCUUAUUGACAAUAAAUUGAGAAGUCAAAGGGA